RNAcentral lists this long non-coding RNA (517 nucleotides) under Monodelphis domestica (gray short-tailed opossum). RNAcentral describes it as "lncRNA (ENSMODG00000049729.1)". The record is from RNAcentral. Lineage: Eukaryota; Metazoa; Chordata; Mammalia; Didelphimorphia; Didelphidae.
ACUGAACUGAAACAUAUACAUUAAUAUACAAUGUCCAGAGAAUUUUAAUUGUAACAUUUCAAAGUAACAUGGUGACUCACCUGCCUGAAGACAUGCAGUAAUCAAUCCACAUUCUCCAAGUCCCCAUAGUUUUUGACUCUGAAGGAACUUCUUUUGGAAGAAGCCUGCAGAAAGAAAGGAAGGCUACUCUGUGUUGUAGGAGACUAUUACCACACUUUGCUCUGAAAGAAAAGUCUAAGGAGUAGAAAAGUUGUUGGGAAACGGGACUGCAAAACACUUUAAGGACAAACUGUGGGAGUAGAAACACCAAGGAAAAACAACUGCCUGACUACAGCGGUUGAAGGGACAUGACAGAGGAGAGACUCUAAACGAACAUUCUAAUGCAAAGACUAACAACAUGGCAAUGGGUUCGAAUCAAGAACACAUGUGAUACCCAGUGAAAUCACGCGUCAGCUAUGGGGGUCGGGGGGGGGGGAGGAAAAGAAAAUGAUCUUUGUCUUUAAUGAAUAAUGCUUGG